UACGUAGGGGGCAAGCGUUGUUCGGAGUUACUGGGCGUAAAGGGCUCGUAGGUGGCCAACUAAGUCAGACGUGAAAUCCCUCAGCUUAACUGGGGAACUGCGUCUGAUACUGGAUGGCUUGAGUUUGGGAGAGGGAUGCGGAAUUCCAGGUGUAGCGGUGAAAUGCGUAGAUAUCUGGAGGAACACCGGUGGCGAAGGCGGCAUCCUGGACCAACACUGACACUGAGGAGCGAAAGCCAGGGGAGCAAACGGG
Molecule: ribosomal RNA, 253 nt
Filed under: uncultured bacterium
Lineage: Bacteria
Description: partial 16S ribosomal RNA
Rfam family: Bacterial small subunit ribosomal RNA
Source: RNAcentral